UCUGCUGAGUGACCAGGAAACUCCUAUUGUUUUGUAUUUUUAUGUAUCUGAUAGUUUGGCUAUAUUUCCUGACUUUGGAGAAGUGGCCUUUUGUAGGAGACAUUGUACACAUCCCAGAACUGCAUUCCCCUCUCAUCUCCAGACCUAUAUGCUGUAGGGGUUCCCCCCUGAGGGCUGCAGGGAUUCUUCUGUUAUCAGGCUGACUAUGUGGGAGGCCUGGUAGGCUUAGUUGUCUCCUGAUCCGGUUGGUUGCCAGACCCUGCCUCAUGUGGAGGCCUUUGGUUGCUGAUUUUGUGGAACCAGGUCACAAUGUGGCUGACUGAAGAACUCCAGAGGAUUUCAAGGCUAGUGCUGGCUCAUUGUUGUGCAGAGUCAAGGUCCAGAAGACUCCAGUGCAAUUGCCUGCCCACUAGUAUAUGAGGCCAAAUCUUAGGGUUAGUGCCAGCCUACUAGUGGACAGAGCCGGUUACUGGAGUCUGGUUGCAGGUUCCAUGGGUCCCAGAGCUGGUUUUGGAUAGCUGGGGGUGGGAAACACAGUUGGUAUGGGGCCUGGGGUGUCUCAAAGCUUGUGUUGGCCUGCUGGUGAGUAGGGCCUCUGCCCAACUAGUCCCAGAGCAGGGUCUGCUGGUAGCUAUGCUGUGUCCACCAGAUCCAGGAUUGUCAUUUUCUUUUGUUUGGUGUCCACACCUUAGUGGUCGAAGCUGGUCCAUAAGUGAGAAGAGCCUUCUUGGAAGGCAGCAUUGGGGGCCAGAGCUUCUAUGGUUGGUGCCUGUCUACUGGUGGGUAAUGUUAGAGCUUGUUCCUGGGCUCUCUGGUGGGCCGUGUCCAGAGACAGCUGUAGGCUCAGUGAGUCUUAGAGAAGUCUCUCUAAUUACGAGUGGGUUUCGAUUACUGCCCAUUUAGUUGCCUGGCCUGAUGCAUCCAAGCAGUGGUUUCUAUAGGCUAUUGGGCCAGGGUGGGGCUGGGUCCUGGGGCUAAUAGGCUAGAGGGAGAAUUCCACAAUGGCACUUAGCAGCACCACUGUCCCCAUGGUAGAAGGAACUUCCAAGAAUGGCUGCUAUCUGUUUGUCUCCAGGGUGAGCUGUGGUUCCCCCCUGACUUUCUGGGAGAGUCUCCAGAAUCAGCAAGUAAGUCUAACCCAGGAUCCUCUAUUUACUGCUUCUGCCCUGGGUUCACGAGUGUAUGAGAAUUUGUGCGCCCUUUACAAAUGAAACCUCUAUGCCCCCACCCCUCUGCAUGUCCCCAGAGUAAGCCCCAUAGGACUUCAAAGCCAAGUGCUCUGGAAUCUCUUCUUCCUGAUGCAGGACCCCUCGGCUGAGGAGACUGACCUAGGGUUCAGAUUAUCCACUCCUUGAAGAGAACCUCUGUAGUGUAAUUAUUUUUCCAGUUUGUGGGUUACCCAGGAACAUGAGACAUGACUGUAUCACCGGCCCACCCCUCCAAUCCAUCUUGUUGAGUCACCAGAGAGCAGAUGUCAAGUAAGAAGCCAUAUAUGAAAAACUUCAGAUGUAGGAAUAAGUCGGGGGUAAAAAUACUUUGAAGUCAUCAUUCGGCAUAUGACAAGCAAAGCCUUGGAUGGAUGUGACACACACUUAGGGAGACAAGAGUGGAAAAAAGACUAAGAUUGAAUCUGCAAAAAACUCCAAGAUAUAGUAAGUUUGAGUUGCAUAUUUUCUUCCUGGGGAAAUGCAAAUUUCCACAUUUAUCAAUUUAACUCAGAUACUGCUUUUUAAAUUGCAUAUAUUCAACUGUUUUAUACAUAUAGUUCUACUUGUUUUCCAUUUUAUGUUCUGACCACAUAUCUUAAAACCAAGAUGUUUCUAAACAUGAUUAAUAAGCCAGCUAUAAACUCAAACUCACCUGUAUAUUUCUAAGAGGAGUGAGAGAUAAAAAAAAUACUGACGUAAACUACUUAGUACACAUAGAAACUUUUUAAAAAUCACAAUUUUCAAUAGCUUGUCUGCUGUCCCAAUUAUCCACUAGCCUUAUAUGAAGGCAGAGCAUAUUGAAUGUUUUCUUACAAAGCAAUACUUCUACAUUGUUCUAAAAUCAAUCAGAUAAAUAUACCUUUAUCUUAAUUUUAUAUUUAUCAUGAAUAGUGCUUACUGGCAUAUUACAAUUUGCAGAUAUUGAUACUAUUAAAUAUUCUAUUUCUAAAAACAGUUGUUCAAAUCAAAAUACUUUAUACCUCAUUUAUACUCUACUAAUUUAUACUUCAUUUAUAGGUAUUCCAGGAUCAUAGCAACUGAAGAUAAGGUUGAUAUAUAAAUUCUGGUUCUUCUUAUCUGGAUAGAAAAGAAUACAAACAUUUUUAGAGUACAUGAAGUUGAAUGUUUAUUUGGAAAGUUGAAUUCUUGUAUACUGAAAAUAUUUUUAAACCAUACAUAUUCAUAAGCGCAAUACAAACACCACCUACAAUACAAACACAUUUUAAAGUUCUACUGUGAAUAUUAAUCUAAGCCAAAAAAAUCAGAUAAACGAGUUAUACAUACCUUUUAUCUCUUUUGAUGAUGUAAUCAAACAAUUUAAGAUAUAAAACAAAGUAAGCUUUGGCUCAACCCUACUUAUUUUACCAUGGGAAUACUAGAAUGUACACUACCACAGAUUACAAACCUAAUCCCUUUAUAAUCAAUUUGAAAUUGUUACAAGAAUCAUAUCUUAAUGACAUGUAAACAUAUUUAGGUUUUCAAUUGGCAAUUAUGUUUUAAAUGCUUAGAAAAAGACACCAACAUUUCUCAUUAUUGUUCUCUUUAGUUCAUCUCUUCCAUUAAUAUAAAAUAGGAAAAAUAUUGAGACUUCCAGCAUAAUUUCAUUGUGCUUUACACUUUUAUAAACAUGGGUACAUCUAAAAUAUCAGAUGCCUUUAUACCAAUGGAAUAAAUCCACCAAAUUCACAUUUUCUUAUAAAUACACAUGCAAAAUUAGUGAAAAACACUUUUGUAUAGCAAAGACCCUGCUUAAUUUUUUUCUGAUUAGUAAUUUUUGAUGGCAUGUGCAAAUUGUACUGCUCAUUGAACAGCAGAUUUAUUUUACUUCCUGUAGAUUUGUUUCUCUAUAAAAAUAUAUUUAUGUGUUCCAAGGAAAAAAGUUGAGUUGGUAUAUGUGCAGUGACUUUGACACAUCAUUAAUUACAGGAUUGUUUAUGAAGUGAAAAGGCAUCUUAGCUUUUAUCAUUUUCAAAUUUUUUUUCAUAAAAAAGAACACCCUGUGACAGAGAUAAGGUAACUGAGAUAAUUGUUAGCACUUUAGAGUUGAGAUAGUUUGAAGCAAAGGGGUCAAGCAACUCAAUGUUUAUGUACAAAAUCAGUGCUGGAACCAGGAAGAGAACUCAGAUUUUCCCAACCCUUGGACAGGUCUCUAUGAAUUUACCCCCACCCAAAAUCCUUGAGAUUAUAUACAAUCUAUUAUAUUAAAAUGAUAGACAGUACACUAGAGAAAGUUAACCGUGGACCUAUUCCUUCUGUGAAGAUUCCCAGUAGAAACCAAACA
Sus scrofa (pig) is the source of this 3489-nucleotide non-coding RNA. The record is from RefSeq and is a predicted model, not a curated record. Lineage: Eukaryota; Metazoa; Chordata; Mammalia; Artiodactyla; Suidae.